GAGACUGAAUUCAAGAGUUAAAAGGGAUAGAGGCAUUCCCACUGUUAGAAGAAUCAGUUAGUGUUGGCUGAGGGUAUCAAGUUUGCAAAGCAUCAGGAGCUGGACAACAUUUCAGAAUUAAAAGCAGUGAAUACAGACCGAGGCAUCCGAAGGCCAUGCCAGGGCCAGAUGGAUACAGAGAACUAUAUCCUUGCCAAAACCUUCCUGCGUCUAAAAUUUGCUGUCCUCCCAAACCUCCGCUUAAGGGUGAGAAAUGGCACAGAGCAACAGACUUUAUUUUGAGGAGAGAUGUCCAAGAGAAGGACCAACAACGCCAGGCCACCCAGCGCUCCACAGUGGCACAAAACUCACGCCAAGUAAUUGCCUCUCAUGGUCUGGUCGCUCCCCCAAAGAUAAAACCAAUCCCAAAACCUCGUCAUCUGAAGAUGCAGAUCCAUGUUGAGCAAUCACAGCCUGUCCAUAAUAUCAUUAUGAAUUAUGUCCCACCUACAUCAGACCAAGCUUGUUCAGAUGGAAAGAAUAAUGACACUCAUUUGGAAAACCGGCACAGUCGUCCAAAAACUACCUCACAUAAAUCAAAACGGGUCCCUCCGAGCGUACCUGUACCUGCCAGACCUCUUCCCAAAGAGCCAGAG
Long non-coding RNA from Carassius gibelio (silver crucian carp), 635 nucleotides. RefSeq lists it as uncharacterized. The record is from RefSeq and is a predicted model, not a curated record. The transcript has 3 exons. NCBI's taxonomy places the organism in Eukaryota, Metazoa, Chordata, Actinopteri, Cypriniformes, Cyprinidae.